GCCAGCUCCUGCUCCUGCAGAUUGCCAGUCGAGAUGCGGCAAAGCAGAGGCAAACAGCUAGGCACAAAGCAAUAGAGUUGUAAACUUUGUUUUUUUUUGUUUUUUGUUUUUUUUUUCCUGCUGCCGCCUAUACUGCCUCUCUCCCAUAGGAAGAACACUACCUCUGGGUAGCCAGGAGCUGAGAUGCAGUCUGAAUGUUCACGGUGGCUUCUGACGUGGCAGCGUGAAUUCUCAGCUGGGCAGGGAGGAACCGGAGGUAUGUUUGACAACUGUUUGAGAAGAAGGUCCCAAAUCCCUCUCUUAAAACCUUGGGAUUGUGCUUGAGACUCAGCCCCGAUGUGUUCCGUGGUAAUUCACUCACCUGGUUUACCCACACUGUAUGCUCCCCCUACCUGCCCCUACCUUGUCAUAAGUAUAAAAGACACUUGUAGAAGCCCCCAGCUACACUCUGGUCGAUCUGACGCUUACAAACACUGUUCUGCACCACAACUGGAAGAAGCACUUGGAGGUUUCCCCAAGAAACUAGUUGGUAUGUAGUUUUAUUUGUGGGUAACUCAACUUGUACUAUUACAACACAGGGAAGAGAAAUCUAGACAGCCUAUUUGAUAGCUGAGGCCUACAGUCUAUAUAGUUUUUGAAGGUCACAAAAAUACUAAACUGUGAACAUCCCAUGUUCUAUUCCCAUUUGUCCUAAUGAAUUAAAUUAAUUACUGCCUUCUCUCUUUCUUUCUACUGGAGAAUCCAAAAAGCAGACUUGGUUUUACACUUGAUGUAGCCCGUAGACCAGCAGUCGGAUGAAUUGGAGAGACAAUGGCUAUCGCCAGCACACAGAAGGGGAAUUGAACGGGCCAGUGUUUUGAGCUCUGUACUGAAUAUAUUUUGCACUAAACAGAUGAGCUUGGAAGACAGAAGUUAAGGAACUAAUACUCAAUGGACGGAUAGUCAAUUCUUCAUAAAAUACAACUUCAAGUAAUUUCCCCGGUUGAGUUUUCAAAAGACAAUUGAAGUGAUAUAGGAGAAGAAGACUUAGGCGAUGCAGGGAAGUGAUAUGCUAAGACUAUGCGAGUGUCUCACAUGCACUAAGGUGUGCCUGUGUUCAGUUGAAUGGAAGACGGCCCAGCUACCACAAUGUCUGAUAUGAUGGAGUCUGGAGCCAGACAACCUGGGUCUGAAUUCUGACCCAGUUGCUUCUUAUCUUUAUGGCUGGACCACUUGUUGAAAGUUGGUGUUGGGAGAGAUUAACAUCUUUCUUGUAAGGAUAGGCUAGUGGUCACGGGAAUGGCUUAGGUGGGUGGUGGUAAAGCAAAGUGGUGACUUUGGCCCUGCCACCUCCUCUGCAGAUAUUGUGAGGUCCUCUCCUGAAGCCAGGCACAGGCUGGCAUUCUGCUCUCGGACUUCCAGAACCUUGGGGCAAAUCAGCAUCAUUUCUUCAUACAUUACUCAAUUCAGGUCGUCUGCCGCAGCCGUAGUGAGGACGCUCUUGGCUUCUUCAGACCUUACAGGAAGAGUAACAGUGUCUUCCUCAUAGGGAAGAAAUAAACUCCCACUAAGUAAAUAGUUGGUGAAACA
Long non-coding RNA from Mus spicilegus (steppe mouse), 1569 nucleotides. The record is from Ensembl. NCBI's taxonomy places the organism in Eukaryota, Metazoa, Chordata, Mammalia, Rodentia, Muridae.